Molecule: long non-coding RNA, 425 nt
Organism: Oncorhynchus keta (chum salmon)
Lineage: Eukaryota; Metazoa; Chordata; Actinopteri; Salmoniformes; Salmonidae
Exons: 3
Source: RefSeq, a predicted model, not a curated record
AUGGGCCUGUCAGUGGAGGUAUAGAGAGUAGUGGAGGAGAAUGGGCCUGUCAGUGGAGGUAUAGAGAGUAGUGGAGGAGAAUGGGCCUGUCAGUGGAGGUAUAGAGAGUAGUGGAGGAGAAUGGGCCUGUCAGUGGAGGUAUAGAGAGUAGUGGAGGAGAAUGGGCCUGUCAGUGGAGGUAUAGAGAGUAGUGGAGGAGGAUGGGCCUGUCAGUGGAGGUAUAGAGAGUAGUGGAGGAGAACAGAGGAGAAUGAGCCUGUCAGUGGAGGUAUAGAGAGUAGUGGAGGAGAAUGAGCCUGUCAGUGGAGGUAUAGAGAGUAGUGGAGGAGAAUGGGCCUGUCAGUGGAGGUAUAGAGAGUAGUGGUGGAGGAUGGGCCUGUCAGUGGAGGUAUAGAGAGUAGUGGAGGAGGAUGGGCCUGUCAGUG